GGGGAAUUUUCCGCAAUGGGCGCAAGCUUGACGGAGCAACGCCGCGUGAGGGAGGAAGACCUGUGGGUUGUAAACCUCUUUUCUCAAGGAAGAACACAAUGACGGUACUUGAGGAAUCAGCAUCGGCUAACUCCGUGCCAGCAGCCGCGGUAGGACGGAGGAUGCAAGCGUUAUCCGGAAUUAUUGGGCGUAAAGCGUCCGUAGGUGGUUAUAAAAGUCUGUUGUUAAAGCCCACAGCUCAACUGUGGAUCGGCAAUGGAAACUGUAUGACUUGAGUGUGGUAGGGGUAGAGGGAAUUCCUAGUGUAGCGGUGAAAUGCGUAGAUAUUAGGAAGAACACCAGUGGCGAAGGCGCUCUACUGGGCCAUAACUGACACUGAUGGACGAAAGCUAGGGGAGCGAAAGGGAUUAGAUACCCCAGUAGUC
This 425-nucleotide ribosomal RNA is filed under the name uncultured cyanobacterium. RNAcentral's name for it is "bacterial SSU rRNA". It matches the Rfam family "Bacterial small subunit ribosomal RNA", at positions 356 to 795 of the family's 1533-position model. Lineage: Bacteria; Bacillati; Cyanobacteriota. The record is from RNAcentral.